UUUUUUUUCCCGUGGAUGCUCUAGCAAUAAAAUUUUCGGUUGAUCUUCCUCCUAUUUCCCUCCGUUUUCUCACACGCAAACCGCCGCAUCGACCAUCAUAACACCGCCAAAGAAUCUGCAAUAAAACAAGGUUUGCCGAGAUUUUUGAGAUAUCGAAUGGAUCCGAAACACACUGCAGAGAUAUUAAGACACUUGGAGAAGCAGGAUGAACUUCUUAUGGAUGCUUAUCGAUCAAUGUCGCAGGAAAUGCAUAAACUGCAGGUUGAGGAAGAAAUGUUAAUGCGCGCAUUUUAUGACCUCAUGGCAGCUCAAGGUCUAUCCAACAAGAAACAAACUGGCACAAAUGUUUCAGAAAAUAGUGAGCCAAAUUCAUCAAAGGCGUUGGUUGUUAUGGAUUCGGUAGAGAAACAGUGAAGAUCUUAAAUAUGGUCAUACUAUUGUCCUUUUUCUGUGUUUCAGUGUGCCUUGAGGAACCUUCAAAACGGAUUUAAAGUUACAGAGCAUUUGGACUAAGUUAAGUUAGACCUUAUGGGACAUCAAAACACAUAUGUUGAUGCUUCAUGCAUCUGAUUCUACAACUAGGUCAACAAAGAUCCUGAGCCACAAAUCCUGGUGCAGGAUGAAUGUCUCCGGAACAGCCUUGCCACACAGAGCACGAUAAGUUUCUUUGGUACAAUGAUAAACUAUGCCACUAGUUGAAGUCCCCAAAGUAGCCGAGUAUUAUGAAGGAGACUAUGGGUUCCUUCAAGAUGGUACUUAGCUCUGGAACCAAAUUCUGCAUCUGUAGUGAUUGUUAGCUUUGAUGCGAUUAUAAACCUGACUUGACCUUCUAGUGUAUUCUGGGGUAACUAUGUUGAAGAGGGAAAUAAAGCAGAACUGGUUGCCAGGAUCAUCGUCUGCAACAAUACCAUGGUUGAGCCAUUAAGAACGUGUGCGCAACUGUGCCAUUGACCAGCAUAAUUGUUAUACGCUGUUAGACCGAGACAGUUCUAAAAUCUGCUAAAUCACAUUAUGGUAGCUGCAAGUCUGCAACUGCUUUUUAACCUAAGGGUGACUUUGUCAAUGGAGGGUAAUCCUGAUCCCAAUACGUCAUCUAAGCUUAUAAACAGAGAUUUCACUUGUCCUUCCUGAGUGUUAAAUUUUCCUCACUCUCCUCAUAAUACCUGCAACUAUUCUUGUACUAUUGACUGACUUUAGUCCAUAGGGUUCGCCCAUGUGGUCCUCUAACGCCUUUUAUUUCUCAAGAUCAUCCAAAGAAUCAAAGAUGGUCUAUUCUACACGUGACACAUUCUUAUGUUUGAUUAAAAGCAAACUAGAUUACUUUUAAUGAAUUAGUCUCACUGACCUAGGGGUGGUGCUUUAACGUGAACCAGAUUAAGUUUACUGGUGAGACCAAAAAAAAACCCCCCAAACUUGUAUGUGUAAGAUUGGUUCGGUAUUUAGAUGUUUAAUUUCAGUUUAUGUAACUAGACAUGGCAUUGGUAAUCCGAUUUAAUGGACAUUUACUUUACCCAA
RNA transcript from Erigeron canadensis, 1515 nucleotides. RefSeq lists it as uncharacterized. The transcript is spliced from 7 exons. The record is from RefSeq and is a predicted model, not a curated record. Lineage: Eukaryota; Viridiplantae; Streptophyta; Magnoliopsida; Asterales; Asteraceae.